RNAcentral lists this ribosomal RNA (520 nucleotides) under uncultured Glomus. RNAcentral describes it as "SSU rRNA". It matches the Rfam family "Eukaryotic small subunit ribosomal RNA", at positions 569 to 1088 of the family's 1831-position model. The record is from RNAcentral. Lineage: Eukaryota; Fungi; Glomeromycota; Glomeromycetes; Glomerales; Glomeraceae.
AGCAGCCGCGGUAAUUCCAGCUCCAAUAGCGUAUAUUAAAGUUGUUGCAGUUAAAAAGCUCGUAGUUGAAUUUCGGGAUCAAUUCGUCGGUCGUGCUUUUUGGUACGUACUGGUGUUUAUUGGUUUCUCCCUUCUGACGAACCAUGAUGUCAUUAAUUUGGUGUUAUGGGGAGUUAGGACUGUUACUUUGAAAAAAUUAGAGUGUUUAAAGCAGGCAUUAGCUUGAAUACAUUAGCAUGGAAUAAUGAAAUAGGACGUUCGAUCCUAUUUUGUUGGUUUCUAGGAUCAACGUAAUGAUUAAUAGGGAUAGUUGGGGGCAUUAGUAUUCAAUUGUCAGAGGUGAAAUUCUUGGAUUUAUUGAAGACUAACUACUGCGAAAGCAUUUGCCAAGGAUGCUUUCAUUAAUCAAGAACGAAAGUUAGGGGAUCGAAGACGAUCAGAUACCGUCGUAGUCUUAACCAUAAACUAUGCCGACUAGGGAUCGGAUGAUGUUAAUUUUUUAAUGACUCAUUCGGCGCCU